GACAGAGGGGGCAAGCGUUGCUCGGAAUUACUGGGCGUAAAGGGCGCGUAGGCGGGAUGGCAAGUCGGUCGUGAAAUCCCUCGGCUCAACCGAGGAACGUCGAUCGAUACUGCUGUUCUUGAGGAUUGCAGAGGAGACUGGAAUUCCCGGUGUAGCGGUGAAAUGCGUAGAUAUCUGGAGGAACACCGGUGGCGAAGGCGGCAUCCUGGACCGGUAUUGACACUGAGGCGCGAAAGCCAGGGGAGCAAACGGG
Molecule: ribosomal RNA, 253 nt
Filed under: uncultured bacterium
Lineage: Bacteria
Description: partial 16S ribosomal RNA
Rfam family: Bacterial small subunit ribosomal RNA
Source: RNAcentral